RNAcentral lists this non-coding RNA (148 nucleotides) under Pan troglodytes (chimpanzee). Lineage: Eukaryota; Metazoa; Chordata; Mammalia; Primates; Hominidae. The record is from Rfam by way of RNAcentral.
GCCAGGCAUGGUGGCGCAGGCCUGUAAUCCCAGCUACAAGGGAGGCUGAGGCAGGAGAAUCGCUUGAACCUGGGAGACAGAGGUUGCAGUGAGCCGAGAUCAAGCCACAGCACUCUAGCCUAGGUGACAGGGUGAGACUCUGUCUCUC